This 477-nucleotide ribosomal RNA is filed under the name Lactiplantibacillus plantarum. RNAcentral describes it as "bacterial LSU rRNA". It matches the Rfam family "Bacterial large subunit ribosomal RNA", at positions 2556 to 2925 of the family's 2925-position model. Lineage: Bacteria; Bacillati; Bacillota; Bacilli; Lactobacillales; Lactobacillaceae. The record is from RNAcentral.
GAUUACCUACACAUUAGAGAGAUUUAACUUAGCACGUGAAAGGACGUUGUAUGUUGGUGAUAGUAUCUUUGAUAUGCAGGCUUCAAAGAAUGCAGGCGUUGAUUUUGUAGUCGGUCCCAAGGGUUGGGCUGUUCGCCCAUUAAAGCGGUACGCGAGCUGGGUUCAGAACGUCGUGAGACAGUUCGGUCCCUAUCCGUCGCGGGCGUAGGAAAUUGAGAGGACCUGUCCUUAGUACGAGAGGACCGGGAUGGACAUACCUCUGGUGUACCAGUUGUGCCGCCAGGCGCAUCGCUGGGUAGCUACGUAUGGAUGUGAUAAACGCUGAAAGCAUCUAAGUGUGAAACACACCUCGAGAUGAGAUUUCCCAUUCCUUUAUGGAAGUAAGACCCCUGAAAGAUGAUCAGGUAGAUAGGUUAGAAGUGGCAGUGCGGUGACGCAUGAAGCGGACUAAUACUAAUCGGUCGAGGACUUAACCAA